GACGAACGCUGGCGGCGUGCUUAACACAUGCAAGUCGAACGCUGAAGCUCAGCUUUUGUUGGGUGGAUGAGUGGCGAACGGGUGAGUAACACGUGAGUAACCUGCCUCCUUCUUUGGGAUAACGCCCGGAAACGGGUGCUAAUACUGGAUAUUCACUGGUCUUCGCAUGGGGGUUGGUGGAAAGGGUUUUUCUGGUGGGGGAUGGGCUCGCGGCCUAUCAGCUUGUUGGUGGGGUGAUGGCCUACCAAGGCUUUGACGGGUAGCCGGCCUGAGAGGGUGACCGGGAACAUUGGGACUGAGAUACGGCCCAGACUCCUACGGGAGGCAGCAGUGUGGAAUAUUGCACAAUGGGCGCAAGCCUGAUGCAGCGACGGCGCGUGAGGGAUGGGGGCCUUCGGGUUGUGAACCUCUUUCGCUCAUGGUCAAGCCGCAACAAUGGUUGUGGUGAGGGUAGUGGGUAAAGAAGCGCCGGCUAACUACGUG
Molecule: ribosomal RNA, 483 nt
Filed under: uncultured bacterium
Lineage: Bacteria
Description: partial 16S ribosomal RNA
Rfam family: Bacterial small subunit ribosomal RNA
Source: RNAcentral